This 843-nucleotide long non-coding RNA is filed under the name Helianthus annuus (common sunflower). The record is from RNAcentral. Lineage: Eukaryota; Viridiplantae; Streptophyta; Magnoliopsida; Asterales; Asteraceae.
CAGCAUCUCCCUCAUCACUCUCAAAACCGUCUCCCUCCCCACCACCACUGAUUCGCAUCUCCAUCACUCCCAAACCCUAAUCAACCUUACCCACUUCCCUCAAACAUACACAGAGAAGAAACGGAGAUAGAGUUAGAACAAAUUAUUCUCCCAAAUUCAUUAAGGCCCAAAACAACAAACGGGUUUUCAAGAAAUGUUGAUGGGUUUAAAAAAAAUUGGAAGCUUUUUGAAACCUACAAGUUUGACUGCCACCCAAAAAGUCAAAAUUCAUCUCUGCAAGGCUUAAACCGUCGCUGUGCCGGAUGGCGCCGGUGUUGAACCGCCAAAUUUUUAGGCGUUGAGGUUCUGACCCUAAAAAAGAUUGUAGCUUUAAGGUUGAUGUUAAAGAGCUUGAUUCAAGAGUUCGAGCAGUAACUUAGGCAUAUGCAUUAAAAGAAGAGAAUACGACAGCCGGAGUAAAAGAAGAGAAUACAGCAACUGGGAUACAUUUGGAUAAAGCACAGAUCAAAGGCUCAAUCUUUGUCUUGGGAAUAAUGGUGUAGGUUUGACUUGGAAAGUAGGAAUAUGUAAUGUUUCUAAUUCUCUGACUUUGUAUGUAUUGUGAUGAUGGACUAACAGUUUUGUUGGUCCUUGAUGAAAUAGUAUAUUUGUUGGCCCUUCAAAAAACUUGUAUAAGGCUAUGUGCGUGUGUGAUUAACUGGUUCAUCAUAGACAUCAAAACUAUCACUUAUUCAACUGACUAAAGGUCAACGAACACCCCAAAGUUAACACAUAAGGGAAAUCUCAAAAAAUUGGAAGCUUUUUGACACCUUCUGAUUUGACCGCCACCCAAAAAGUCAUACU